RNAcentral lists this long non-coding RNA (943 nucleotides) under Oryzias javanicus (javanese ricefish). RNAcentral describes it as "lncRNA (ENSOJAG00000011859.1)". The record is from RNAcentral. Lineage: Eukaryota; Metazoa; Chordata; Actinopteri; Beloniformes; Adrianichthyidae.
CUGACUAAAUACUUUGUCGAUCCACUGUACAUCAAACUAUAAUAACUAAGACAGCCUAAUUUUGUCUUGUCUCUUGCUUUCAUAUUUUUGUAAUGGUUUAACAGGAACUGGAGGGCAACUUGGAACAGGAGGGCAACUUGGAACAGGAGGGCAACUUGGAACAGGAGGGCAACUUGGAACUGGAGGACAGCUUGGAACUGGAGGACAGCUUGGAACUGGAGGAUUUGGAACGCUAGGGGGAGGUGGUGGAUACUCUCCUGCUUCAAAAGCUGCCAAAUAUGGAGUUGGAGGUCAACUUGGUACUGGAGGUCAACUUGGAACUGGAGGACAACUAGGAACCGGAGGUCAGCUUGGUACAGGAGGACUUGGAACACUUGGGGGAGGUGGUGGAUAUUCUCCUUCCUCCAAAGCUGCCAAAUAUGGUUUACCAGGAACAGGAGGACAACUUGGAACAGGUGGACAACUUGGAACAGGUGGACAAAUUGUACCAGGAGGACCUGGAUCAGUGGGUGGAGGUGGUAGCUAUUCUCCUGCUGCCAAAGCUGCUAAAUAUGGUUUAACUGGAAGAGGAGGUCAACUUGGAACAGGAGCGCAACUUGUACCAGGAGGACAACUUGUACCAGGGGGAUCCGGAGGAAUCGGUGGAGGUGGUGGCUAUUCUCCUGCUUCCAAAGCUGCUAAAUAUGGUUUACCAGGAUUUGGAGGACAACUUGGAACGGGAGGACAACUCGGAACGGGAGGGCAACGUGUGCCAGGAGGACCUGGAACGUUAGGAGGAGGCGGUGGAUAUUCUCCUGCUUCUAAAGCUGCUAAAUAUGGUAUUGGGGGCCAAACAGGAGCCGGGGGUGGAGCAGGUGGAGGAUACAAUCCCGCCGCCGCUGCUGCUGCUGCAAAAGCUGCUAAAUAUGGUAACUGUGGGGGUGGGGGGGGAUCCAAAAAGUAA